UCCAUCGCGAAAGGAGAGUGCACACCACCGGACUGCAAAAGCAUUCUACAAAGUAACUGUAGCGAUCCGUGUAUCGGAUACUCUUGCCAAGAUGGACAGCCUAAGAAAGAAGAGUGUCCUAAAACAACCGAUCCAAAGUGUAGUUAUUCAUUUGCAGGAUAUGGUGAUUAUCCUGAUUGCUGUGGAGUAUUGAUGUGCAUUUGAGGGCUACAAAUGAAGUCGGCCCCCAGAAAUGCAGCAAUUUUUUCAAGGAACCUGCGCACAUACAGCAGAACUUUUGACUGUCGCAUCUGAGCGCGGCACGGGCGACUGUACUUACUGCAUAAAUUUGAGAAGUAAUC
Molecule: long non-coding RNA, 341 nt
Organism: Rhipicephalus sanguineus (brown dog tick)
Lineage: Eukaryota; Metazoa; Arthropoda; Arachnida; Ixodida; Ixodidae
Exons: 2
Source: RefSeq, a predicted model, not a curated record